AUGAGGAACGCAGCGAAAUGCGAUAAGUAGUGUGAAUUGCAGAAUUCAGUGAAUCAUCGAAUCUUUGAACGCACAUUGCGCCCCUUGGUAUUCCAUGGGGCAUGCCUGUUCGAGCGUCAUUUGUACCUUCAAGCUUUGCUUGGUGUUGGGUGUUUGUCUCGCCUUUGCGUGUAGACUCGCCUUAAAAUAAUUGGCAGCCGGCGUAUUGAUUUCGGAGCGCAGUACAUCUCGCGCUUUGCACUCAUAACGACAGCGUCCAAAAGUACAUUUUACACUCUUGACCUCGGAUCAGGUAGGGAUACCCGCUGAACUUAAGCAUAUCAAUAAGCGGAGGA
Molecule: unclassified non-coding RNA, 335 nt
Filed under: soil metagenome
Description: partial contains 5.8S ribosomal RNA, internal transcribed spacer 2, and large subunit ribosomal RNA
Rfam family: 5.8S ribosomal RNA (bases 1-119)
Source: RNAcentral